ACCUGGCUGGCUCAGUCAGUAGAGCAUGCGACUCUUAAUCUCAGUGUCGUGAGUCCAAGUCCCACACUGGGCA
RNAcentral lists this transfer RNA (73 nucleotides) under Ailuropoda melanoleuca (giant panda). It matches the Rfam family "tRNA". Rfam says of the family: Transfer RNA (tRNA) molecules are approximately 80 nucleotides in length. The record is from Rfam by way of RNAcentral. Lineage: Eukaryota; Metazoa; Chordata; Mammalia; Carnivora; Ursidae.